AUUGAACGCUGGCGGAAUGCUUUACACAUGCAAGUCGAACGGCAGCACGGGGGCAACCCUGGUGGCGAGUGGCGAACGGGUGAGUAAUACAUCGGAACGUGCCCAGUCGUGGGGGAUAACGUAGCGAAAGUUACGCUAAUACCGCAUACGAUCUAAGGAUGAAAGCGGGGGAUCGCAAGACCUCGCGCGAUUGGAGCGGCCGAUAUCAGAUUAGGUAGUUGGUGGGGUAAAGGCUCACCAAGCCAACGAUCUGUAGCUGGUCUGAGAGGACGACCAGCCACACUGGAACUGAGACACGGCCCAGACUCCUACGGGAGGCAGCAGUGGGGAAUUUUGGACAAUGGACGCAAGUCUGAUCCAGCCAUUCCGCGUGCAGGAUGAAGGCCCUCGGGUUGUAAACUGCUUUUGUACGGAACGAAAAGGUCUCUCUUAAUACGGGGGGCUCAUGACGGUACCGUAAGAAUAAGCACCGGCUAACUACGUGCCAGCAGCCGCCGUAA
This 500-nucleotide ribosomal RNA is filed under the name uncultured bacterium. Its description in RNAcentral is "partial 16S ribosomal RNA". It matches the Rfam family "Bacterial small subunit ribosomal RNA", at positions 30 to 523 of the family's 1533-position model. The record is from RNAcentral.